This 504-nucleotide ribosomal RNA is filed under the name uncultured Lactococcus sp. RNAcentral describes it as "bacterial SSU rRNA". It matches the Rfam family "Bacterial small subunit ribosomal RNA", at positions 25 to 497 of the family's 1533-position model. The record is from RNAcentral. Lineage: Bacteria; Bacillati; Bacillota; Bacilli; Lactobacillales; Streptococcaceae.
CAGGACGAACGCUGGCGGCGUGCCUAAUACAUGCAAGUCGAGCGAGCAGAACCAGCAGAUUUACUUCGGUAAUGACGCUGGGGACGCGAGCGGCGGAUGGGUGAGUAACACGUGGGGAACCUGCCCCAUAGCCUGGGAUACCACUUGGAAACAGGUGCUAAUACCGGAUAAGAAAGCAGAUCGCAUGAUCAGCUUAUAAAAGGCGGCGUAAGCUGUCGCUAUGGGAUGGCCCCGCGGUGCAUUAGCUAGUUGGUAAGGUAACGGCUUACCAAGGCAAUGAUGCAUAGCCGAGUUGAGAGACUGAUCGGCCACAUUGGGACUGAGACACGGCCCAAACUCCUACGGGAGGCAGCAGUAGGGAAUCUUCCACAAUGGACGCAAGUCUGAUGGAGCAACGCCGCGUGAGUGAAGAAGGUUUUCGGAUCGUAAAGCUCUGUUGUUGGUGAAGAAGGAUAGAGGUAGUAACUGGCCUUUAUUGACGGUAAUCAACCAGAAGUCACCGGG